ACUCAAAUGAAUUGACGGGGGCCCGCACAAGCGGUGGAACAUGUGGUUCAAUUCGACGCAACGCGAAGAACCUUACCUGGGCUCGAAGUGUCGGUGACCCGCGGUGGAAACACCGCCUUCUCGCAAGAGACACCGAUAGAGGUGCUGCAUGGCUGUCGUCAGCUCGUGCCGUGAGGUGUUGGGUUAAGUCCCGCAACGAGCGCAACCCUUACUCUUAGUUGCCACCCGCAAGGGGGAACUCUAAGAGGACUGCUCCGGACAACGGAGAGGAAGGUGGGGAUGACGUCAAGUCAGCAUGGCCUUUAUGUCCAGGGCUACACACGUGUUACAAUGCGCGCCACAAAGCGUUGCGAACCCGCGAGGGGGAGCUAAUCGCAAAAAAGCGCGCUCAGUUCGGACUGCAGUCUGCAACUCGGCUGCACGAAGCCGGAAUCGCUAGUAAUGGCGUAUCAGAACGACGCCGUGAAUACGUUCCCGGGCCUUGUACACACCGCCCGU
Molecule: ribosomal RNA, 498 nt
Filed under: uncultured bacterium
Lineage: Bacteria
Description: partial 16S ribosomal RNA
Rfam family: Bacterial small subunit ribosomal RNA
Source: RNAcentral